AUACGGAGGGUCCGAGCGUUAAUCGGAAUUACUGGGCGUAAAGCGCGCGUAGGUGGCUAUAUAAGUCAGAUGUGAAAUCCCUGGGCUCAACCUAGGAACUGCAUUUGAAACUGUAUGGCUAGAGUAUGGUAGAGGUGAGUGGAAUUUCAGGUGUAGCGGUGAAAUGCGUAGAGAGCUGAAGGAACAUCAGUGGCGAAGGCGACUCACUGGGCCAUUACUGACGCUGAGGUGCGAAAGCGUGGGUAGCAAACAGGAUUAGAAACCCUAGUAGUCC
RNAcentral lists this ribosomal RNA (274 nucleotides) under uncultured bacterium. RNAcentral describes it as "partial 16S ribosomal RNA". It matches the Rfam family "Bacterial small subunit ribosomal RNA", at positions 523 to 796 of the family's 1533-position model. The record is from RNAcentral.